UUUUCUUUUUUUCUGAAAAAAGUUGUUAAGAAAGAGGAAAGAAAGGAAAUCGAUUGGGAUAGGCUGUUUUCUGCUAUUGUGUUUUUGACUGUUUUUGCAGGAAAAAAGGAUAUCCACUGUUGGAGAUGAGAUCCAUGUGAUGGCCCCAAGAUUUACCCAAAUGCCUUCAUCCGACACUACGCUGUGAUAUCAGGAGUACGCCAGAUUUGCUAUUGGAGUAGGAUGAAGGCGGUUGAGUCAAACGCGAGGAAGCUUCAAAGGAUCGAAAGCAACAACACAACACAGCAACACAUAUCAUAUGAAUCGAGAAGAAAUGCAUGGCAAUCACAAAACAAACGACAGCUACUACUCAGUACCAAGUUCAGCAAGACACCAACAACGGUUUACCGACGGUAACAAUUCAAAAUUAAUUUUUCCUUUUAUUGUUUGUUGUUCAGAUUUUGCUUUAGGAACAAUUUGAUUAUAUUGUUUAUUUGUAGCAUUGUUGGUGUAUAUCUAUUAUGCUGCUGUAGUUCCGAUUAAUUCAUGAAAGUUGUAGCGAUUAUGUUAUAUUAAGUUGCUGCAAAUUUGCUGUCACAUAUAUGUCAAUUUGUUAUCAGAAAACUAUAGAUAUUCGUCUCAAUUUGAUUGCAUUGCGUAUCCACUAUUGCGUGAAAAUUUGUUUCGGUUUUGUACUCUUUUUAAAGUUGAAUUUGUUUCAGGCUGUGUGUUGUAAUAAUUUGGUACUACCGUAAAUAAUGGUACAAUUAGUAACUACCUACUGCAAGUUUUUCUUUCCCUUAACCAUGUAAUUUAGGUUGGUUUAUAUUGAAAGCUAAUAAUUAAAGCUUAUUUCUUAUUGGGGUACACAUUGGCUUUGCAAGCAGGUUCUGACUUUUCAAUGUUUACUUGAUGAUGAUUAUGAUAAGUUGUUUUAGUUAGGUUUCAUUUAAUUUUGUAUGUUGCUUGCUUGGUUUUUAAUAAAUUAUAUAUUUUGCAAGUAGUACUCAUCAUGUGUGUAAUUUUAUACUCCAUAAGCUAGUUAUUUAAAAUGGUGAAUUUGUUAGUAGUGGUAAGUGUUUACACCGAUGAUGGUUUGGUUUUCUGUUCCCAAGUUGGUGUUUUUGUAUCAUUAUGUAUAUGUUCUGCUGAAUUUUUUUACUACGUUUGCUUUGUGUGUUGCAACGAGUUUGUGAUUUUUGUAAUCAAAUUAAAGAUAAUUUUAAUUAUAUUAAGUAUUUGAUUUAAUCAAAUAGUUUUGAUAAUUAAGUUUGGUUAUAUUAAUUAAG
Molecule: long non-coding RNA, 1268 nt
Filed under: Lathyrus oleraceus (garden pea)
Lineage: Eukaryota; Viridiplantae; Streptophyta; Magnoliopsida; Fabales; Fabaceae
Description: Pisum sativum (pea) long non-coding RNA (PSAT_LNC034504)
Source: RNAcentral